GGCUCGGUAGCUUAGUUGGUUAAGCACUCGACUAGCAUACAAGAGUCGUGGGUUAAAAUCUCACCUGAGCAC
This is a non-coding RNA of Aedes aegypti (yellow fever mosquito), 72 nucleotides long. Lineage: Eukaryota; Metazoa; Arthropoda; Insecta; Diptera; Culicidae. The record is from Rfam.